RNAcentral lists this ribosomal RNA (445 nucleotides) under uncultured bacterium. RNAcentral describes it as "partial 16S ribosomal RNA". It matches the Rfam family "Bacterial small subunit ribosomal RNA", at positions 354 to 796 of the family's 1533-position model. The record is from RNAcentral.
GUGAGGAAUAUUGGUCAAUGGGCGAGAGCCUGAACCAGCCAAGUCGCGUGAAGGAAGACGGCCCUACGGGUUGUAAACUUCUUUUGAAAUGGAAUAAAAAGAGUUACGUGUAAUUCAUUGUAUGUACCUUGCGAAUAAGGAUCGGCUAACUCCGUGACAACAGCCGCGGUAAUACGGAGGAUCCGAGCGUUAUCCGGAUUUAUUGGGUUUAAAGGGUGCGUAGGCGGAUUGGAAAUUCAGCGGUGAAAGUUUGCAGCUUAACUGUAAAAUGUCAAUUGAAACUGUCAGCCUUGAGGACAAAUGAGGUAGGCGGAAUGUGUUGGGUAGCGUUGAAAUGCAUAGGUAUAACACAGAACACCAAUUGCGAAGGCAGCUUACUGGGAUGCAACUGACGCUGAUGCACGAAAGCGUGGGGAUCAAACAGGAUUAGAUACCCCAGUAGUCC